This 549-nucleotide ribosomal RNA is filed under the name Colletotrichum sp. GW2. Its description in RNAcentral is "eukaryotic LSU rRNA". The stretch from base 188 to 341 matches the Rfam family "5.8S ribosomal RNA". The record is from RNAcentral. Lineage: Eukaryota; Fungi; Ascomycota; Sordariomycetes; Glomerellales; Glomerellaceae.
UGCGGAGGGAUCAUUACUGAGUUUACGCUCUAUAACCCUUUGUGACAUACCUAUAACUGUUGCUUCGGCGGGUAGGGUCUCCGCGACCCUCCCGGCCUCCCGCCUCCGGGCGGGUCGGCGCCCGCCGGAGGAUAACCAAACUCUGAUUUAACGACGUUUCUUCUGAGUGGUACAAGCAAAUAAUCAAAACUUUUAACAACGGAUCUCUUGGUUCUGGCAUCGAUGAAGAACGCAGCGAAAUGCGAUAAGUAAUGUGAAUUGCAGAAUUCAGUGAAUCAUCGAAUCUUUGAACGCACAUUGCGCCCGCCAGCAUUCUGGCGGGCAUGCCUGUUCGAGCGUCAUUUCAACCCUCAAGCUCUGCUUGGUGUUGGGGCCCUACAGCUGAUGUAGGCCCUCAAAGGUAGUGGCGGACCCUCCCGGAGCCUCCUUUGCGUAGUAACUUUACGUCUCGCACUGGGAUCCGGAGGGACUCUUGCCGUAAAACCCCCCAAUUUUCCAAAGGUUGACCUCGGAUCAGGUAGGAAUACCCGCUGAACUUAAGCAUAUCAU